CAUCCCCCAACCCCGCCCUAGGCAGGAAAGACCUGAACCCUCCCUAGACCUGGGGGCAGUCAGGGAGCUAGGACCAGGAGACCCAGGAGGAUACACAUCUCCAGGUUCAUCCAGUCCUUACUGAGCACCUUCUGGGGCCAGGCCCUGUGCUGGGCACUGGGGAGUUAGUUCUGAGAUGGAGGACAAAGAUCCUUGCCAGGGAGUUGACAGUUGAUGGGAGCCUUCAAAGCCAGAAUCCUCUGGAAUCUGCUGAGAAGAGAGGUCUUCCAGAGGCCUGAUCCUGAGCUGUGGGGAAUGUCCAACCCAGAUGCAUGGCCAGAAGAGCCUCCGUGAGGAUUUGCACCUGUCCGGACUCCUGCCUGGUGCCGCCGAGGAGAACCCCUGUAAAGAAGCUGGAGAAUGUGCCGUGUUGUUCUGUCCCGUGGAGCAGUUUACGUGCAGAAAGUGAUGAAUCCUGGAGGAUAUGGGGAUUCUGUGCCCAAAGGCUUCAGGGGAUAGGUGCACGUCUUGGUCCUCAGGCCAACCAUCAGGGGGCGCUCUGUCGUGCAGAAGUGCUGCUCUUUCUUAUGAAGAAUUUGGCCUCAUUUUAAGCAUAAACUCUUGAUUUUAAGAAGAUCUGUGACGUGAUGAACACUGAUAUUAUACACAACUGAUGAAUUAU
This is a long non-coding RNA of Canis lupus familiaris (dog), 661 nucleotides long. RefSeq lists it as uncharacterized. The transcript is spliced from 4 exons. NCBI's taxonomy places the organism in Eukaryota, Metazoa, Chordata, Mammalia, Carnivora, Canidae. The record is from RefSeq and is a predicted model, not a curated record.